This 209-nucleotide non-coding RNA is filed under the name Loigolactobacillus rennini. RNAcentral's name for it is "Lactobacillus rennini T-box sequence". It matches the Rfam family "T-box leader". Rfam says of the family: Uncharged tRNA acts as the effector for transcription antitermination of genes in the T-box leader family. The record is from RNAcentral. Lineage: Bacteria; Bacillati; Bacillota; Bacilli; Lactobacillales; Lactobacillaceae.
CUCAAAGCAAUGAACAAGUCAGUAAUAAUGGCCUCGUGGUUUAGAGAAAAAGUGGUCGCUGCAAACUUUGCGCAAGUCAUUGAUGAAAGUAACUUGGGAGCUGUUGUUUUGAAAUCUAAGUAGAAACAGCCGGUAGAAACCGUUAUUUCGUUGAAGUGGCGCAUUAUGCGCAAUUUAGGUGGUACCGCGAGUCAGCAUUCGUCCUAGCA